CAGACCUAAUAUUUCCAGCUUCUGCACCAAAAAUUAAUUUUAAUCCAACAUCGAGGUCGCAAUCUUUAUCUUCGAUUAGAACUCUUUGAUAAUAUUACGCUGUUAUCCCUAAGGUAAUUAAAUCUUACAAUUAUUACUAAUAGCUCAAGUAUACAUAAAUUAAUGAUUUAAAUUUAAAAAAAGUUCGAUUAAUUUUUCAAUCACCCCAAUUAAAUAAUUAAAAAAAUUAAAAAUUUUUAUACUAAAAAAAAAUUAAAAUUUUUAAAUAUGAAACUCUAUAGGGUCUUCUCGUCUUUUAAAUUAAUCUUAGCUUUUUAACUAAAAAAUAAAUUUUUAAUGUUUAAAUAGAGACAGAAAUUUUUUUAUCCAACCAUUCAUUCCAGCUUCUAAUUAAGAAACUAAUGAUUAUGCUACCUUAGCACGGUCAAAAUACCGCGGCCAUUUAAAUCCUCAGAGGGCAGGCUA
RNAcentral lists this ribosomal RNA (465 nucleotides) under Acanthoscelides obtectus. RNAcentral describes it as "partial 16S ribosomal RNA". Lineage: Eukaryota; Metazoa; Arthropoda; Insecta; Coleoptera; Chrysomelidae. The record is from RNAcentral.